CCCUUAGAUGUCCUGGGCCGCACGCGCGUUACACUGAUGCAUUCAACGAGCAUAUAACCUUGGCCAAGAGGCCUGGGUAAUCUUGUUAACAUGCAUCGUGAUAGGGAUAGAUUAUUGCAAUUAUUAAUCUUGAACGAGGAAUUCCUAGUAAUCGCAGUUCAUCAAACUGCAAUGAUUACGUCCCUGCCCUUUGUACACACCGCCCGUCGCACCUACCGAUUGAAUGGUCCGGUGAGGACUCGGGAUUGUGGUUUAGCUCCUUCAUUGGGGCCUGACUGCGAGAACUUGUCCGAACCUUAUCAUUUAGAGGAAGGUGAAGUCGUAACA
This 327-nucleotide ribosomal RNA is filed under the name uncultured eukaryote. RNAcentral's name for it is "partial 18S ribosomal RNA". It matches the Rfam family "Eukaryotic small subunit ribosomal RNA", at positions 1470 to 1796 of the family's 1831-position model. The record is from RNAcentral.